Molecule: non-coding RNA, 336 nt
Organism: Pelobates cultripes (western spadefoot toad)
Lineage: Eukaryota; Metazoa; Chordata; Amphibia; Anura; Pelobatidae
Source: the annotation of a GenBank genome assembly
ACUGAACUUGAUGGAUGCAAGUCUCUUUUCAGCUAUGUAACUAUGUAAUAUUUGUAGGCAAAAAUUUGCCAUACAAUGGGUCGACCUGAAAAGCUCAGUGUUGUUAAAUAUGGUACUGUUGUUGGAUACCCCCUUUGCCACCAGUCAGUGGCAAAGAACAAAAAAACAGCAAUAUAAACACCACAAUAUCAGUGGAAUGUAGUGCGAUAUCAAGUAUAAAGUUACUUAACUUAAAAGACAAUAUACAGCCUCCCAAGAUCGUUAUCCACAAAGAACAAUCUUUACAGUAUAUAGAAAACCACAAACAAAAGCGGGAUGCGGCUGGAUAAAUCUAUA